RNAcentral lists this ribosomal RNA (254 nucleotides) under uncultured bacterium. RNAcentral describes it as "partial 16S ribosomal RNA". It matches the Rfam family "Bacterial small subunit ribosomal RNA", at positions 524 to 776 of the family's 1533-position model. The record is from RNAcentral.
UACGGGGGGAGCAAGCGUUGUUCGGAUUUACUGGGCGUAAAGGGCGCGUAGGCGGUCAGCACAAGUCAGUUGUGAAAUCUCCGGGCUUAACUCGGAAAGGUCAACUGAUACUGUGCGACUAGAGUGCAGAAGGGGCAACUGGAAUUCUCGGUGUAGCGGUGAAACGCGUAGAUAUCGAGAGGAACACCUGCGGCGAAGGCGGGUUGCUGGGCUGACACUGACGCUGAUGCGCGAAAGCCAGGGGAGCGAACGGG